AACGCACUCUCGUUUAGAUUGAAGGAGCUUGCGUCCUGAUUGAUAAACAUUUGAGUGAGUGGCGGACGGGUGAGUAACACGUGGGUAACCUGCCCUAAAGUGGGGGAUACAUUUGGAAACAGAUGCUAAUACCGCAUAAAACCUAACACCGCAUGGUGUAGGGUUGAAAGAUGGUUUCGGCUAUCACUUUAGGAUGGACCCGCGGUGCAUUAGUUAGUUGGUGAGGUAAAGGCUCACCAAGACCGUGAUGCAUAGCCGACCUGAGAGGGUAAUCGGCCACACUGGGACUGAGACACGGCCCAGACUCCUACGGGAGGCAGCAGUAGGGAAUCUUCCACAAUGGACGAAAGUCUGAUGGAGCAACGCCGCGUGAGUGAAGAAGGUUUUCGGAUCGUAAAACUCUGUUGUUGGAGAAGAAUGUAUCUGAUAGUAACUGAUCAGGUAGUGACGGUAUCCAACCAGAAAGCCACGGCUAACUACGUGCCAGCAGCCGCGGUAAUACGUAGGUGGCAAGCGUUGUCCGGAUUUAUUGGGCGUAAAGCGAGCGCAGGCGGUUUCUUAAGUCUGAUGUGAAAGCCUUCGGCUCAACCGAAGAAGUGCAUCGGAAACUGGGAAACUUGAGUGCAGAAGAGGACAGUGGAACUCCAUGUGUAGCGGUGAAAUGCGUAGAUAUAUGGAAGAACACCAGUGGCGAAGGCGGCUGUCUGGUCUGUAACUGACGCUGAGGCUCGAAAGCAUGGGUAGCAAACAGGAUUAGAUACCCUGGUAGUCCAUGCCGUAAACGAUGAGUGCUAGGUGUUGGAGGGUUUCCGCCCUUCAGUGCCGCAGCUAACGCAUUAAGCACUCCGCCUGGGGAGUACGACC
Molecule: ribosomal RNA, 864 nt
Filed under: Latilactobacillus sakei
Lineage: Bacteria; Bacillati; Bacillota; Bacilli; Lactobacillales; Lactobacillaceae
Description: bacterial SSU rRNA
Rfam family: Bacterial small subunit ribosomal RNA
Source: RNAcentral